Molecule: ribosomal RNA, 253 nt
Filed under: uncultured bacterium
Lineage: Bacteria
Description: partial 16S ribosomal RNA
Rfam family: Bacterial small subunit ribosomal RNA
Source: RNAcentral
UACAGAGGGUGCAAGCGUUAAUCGGAAUUACUGGGCGUAAAGCGUGCGCAGGCGGUUUUGUAAGCCAGAUGUGAAAUCCCCGGGCUUAACCUGGGAAUGGCAUUUGGGACUGCAAGGCUUGAGUGCGGCAGAGGAGACUGGAAUUCCUGGUGUAGCAGUGAAAUGCGUAGAUAUCAGGAGGAACACCGAUGGCGAAGGCAGGUCUCUGGGCUGACACUGACGCUCAUGCACGAAAGCGUGGGGAGCAAACAGG